GUGAAAAAUAAAAGACAGCAGUUCCAGUGAAACAUCCUCUGCAUGGCAGAGUUAAGAGGAAACACAGUUCCAUACAGAAGCACAUCUCUUAAAAUGUUUUAACAGCAAAAAUGAUUGAGGUCCUUUUAGGGCACAUUGUCUGUUCCAUAAGAGGAUUGGAAAUCUGCCAUUGUAUUACUGGCUUUUGCUCCAAAAUAAACUAAAGCCAGCACAGCUGGAGGUGACAGAAGCAUGUCCAGGAUAAGUACCUACUCCCUGCUCUCCCUCCCAGCUGUUAAAUCAUUCUGUCCCUGCUGCUUUCACAGCAUGUAGCGCUGGACUGUUUCUAACCUUUCCUCUCUGCAAAGCUCCUCAGCUCUCCUCAUCCUCUGCUUACCGAAAUCCCCCAGAUGAUGCUCAGGCCAAGAAUCCCAAAUAGCCAGCAGUCACAAAGACCUCAUGUGCCCUUACACAAACCCUUAUUUUACCAACCCACAAUUCUCUUAUAUCUUGUGCCCUACAAACAACCACGUCACUUCCCAACAGCCUGGCUCCUCCUGGAACACUUGCAGUACUCCCCACUCUCAUCUCUGAAUGAAGUGAGGAUCCUGCAGGGAAAGAGUUGUUGAAGGGAACACUGAAAAGCACUUGCGAAGGGGUUCAAAUGAAGCUUGCACUGACAACCUUAAUUCCACCAUCCCCUAAGUUUUAAGCAGUUAACUUAGUAAACUUAUUAUUACUAUAAAAAGAUGCUUAUUUAAUAUAAUAAACUCACAUGGACACAGAUUUAUGAAAAAGAAGCGAAAAAAGAAAGGUUCUGCUAUGUUGGUAUCUUCAAACAACUUAGGAGAAUUGUGCAGACAGCUCCCCAAAGCUUAGAGAUCUGCAUGGGACUUCCUGUCUUCAAGCAGAGAUUUUCUUUAAUGUAGUUCCUACAAUAACAUCCGAAGCUCUGCUCCUUCAAGCUCUCCUUUUCUCUUUCUUUCAGUAUUCUGUUUUUGUUGGUUUCUUUCCAUACUUCUACAGUUCCCUGCUCUGAUCUACCCACUCAUCCAAGUUUUCCAGCUGGGCCAUUUCAAGUCUAAUGUGUUCAGAGUUCGGUCACGGUAUAAACAAACAUAAAUAGUCUGCACGAUCAUCAAAUUCAAGGAGCAAUCCUCUUUUCUUUUACUGUGCGAGGAGCAGCAUUAGCUCUGCUUGGAAAUAUACGAUAUAUUCUUGGCACUCUUCCCCCAACAAAAACAAUGCUUUGUUAAACCUGCGCCUGUCAACUUUAUUUGUGGUAUAUUUUUAUGAUUUCAAGGGGGAGGAGAUACAGCUCAAUUUCUGCCACCGAGUCAAAACUCAUGAACAAAUAAAUUCCUUUAGAAGUGAGCAGAACAAAGAAGGGGGCUAUCCUGAUGGCUGCUUUGCAACAGUGCCAGCUCUGGAGGAGCUGCUGGCUGGGACAGGAAGCCGCCUGUCUGUGUGCAGCUCAAGGCAGAAGCCUGUAACUGCUGCUGCAACUCUUCCAGGAGAGCUUUAUGGAGAAAGCAGGCAUCUCCAUAGGCAGUGCAAAAAAACGGAUGCCGUCAGGACACACAGAGAGGGAAAAAGAAGCUGUGAUCUGUCUCCCCUCUAGUCAGUCCUUCUCAGGUGAUGAGCAGAAGCAAGCCCACUGCUCCGCUGGGCCCUGGGCUCCUAUACAGCCCCAAACGCUGCACGUACAUGUGGGGGGCCCUAAUGGCACCAACUGCGUACGGGGCCGGGUCACACUCCCCGCACUCCUCACGUGCACCCUCGCUCAGUCACAGCCCGGCCCUCCGCCGCCAGGGGCCGCUGUGGUGCCGCAGCGCUGGCGGGCCGGCUGAGCUGGCGUCGACAUCUUGGGGCGGUGCUGGAGGGAGAGCGAGAGGUCCUGCGUGAACGUCAUGGGAGAGUGAGCGGCAGUGGGCCGUGCAGGUCAGCCGGCAGCAGGAGGACAACGGCACAAAAUGAAGUAUGUGUCAAUCUAGGGGAGAUGUUUUACUGGUCUGGAAGACAGAACCUUUCUACCUACGCAGCCACCUGGUGCUGUGCAUCCCACUGCUUCCACGGGCUGCUCAUCCAGGAUUCCCAGAGCUGACUCCUCCUGGUAAGGGUCUUCAAAUCUUACCUAGGCGCCUUAGUAGAAGUGACCUGAUCGACAGAAAGAGUGAGAACCCACAGAUCCUACUGGGAUCUGACUUUGCUUGGCAUCUUAAAAUCAAGCCACUUCUAUUUCAGUACCUAAGCAUGGAUUUGGGGACAUAGUUUUAAG
Long non-coding RNA from Numida meleagris (helmeted guineafowl), 2257 nucleotides. RefSeq lists it as uncharacterized. The record is from RefSeq and is a predicted model, not a curated record. The transcript has 3 exons. NCBI's taxonomy places the organism in Eukaryota, Metazoa, Chordata, Aves, Galliformes, Numididae.